GCGUGCAGGAAGAAGGCCUUCGGGUUGUAAACUGCUUUUGUACGGAACGAAACGGUCUUGGUUAAUACCUGGGGCUAAUGACGGUACCGUAAGAAUAAGCACCGGCUAACUACGUGCCAGCAGCCGCGGUAAUACGUAGGGUGCAAGCGUUAAUCGGAAUUACUGGGCGUAAAGCGUGCGCAGGCGGUUUUGUAAGACAGUCGUGAAAUCCCCGGGCUCAACCUGGGAAUGGCGAUUGUGACUGCAAAGCUGGAGUGCGGCAGAGGGGGAUGGAAUUCCGCGUGUAGCAGUGAAAUGCGUAGAUACGCGGAGGAACACCGAUGGCGAAGGCAAUCCCCUGGGCCUGCACUGACGCUCAUGCACGAAAGCGUGGGGAGCAAACAGGAUUAGAUACCCUGGUAGUCCACGCCCUAAACGAUGUCAACUGGUUGUUGGGUCUCUUCUGACUCAGUAACGAAGCUAACGCGUGAAGUUGACCGCCUGGGGAGUACGGCCGCAAGGUU
RNAcentral lists this ribosomal RNA (503 nucleotides) under uncultured bacterium. RNAcentral describes it as "bacterial SSU rRNA". It matches the Rfam family "Bacterial small subunit ribosomal RNA", at positions 399 to 895 of the family's 1533-position model. The record is from RNAcentral.